GGAAAUCCAGUAUGGGA
This 17-nucleotide unclassified non-coding RNA is filed under the name Mus musculus (house mouse). RNAcentral describes it as "oocyte_clustered_small_RNA893". The record is from RNAcentral. Lineage: Eukaryota; Metazoa; Chordata; Mammalia; Rodentia; Muridae.